This 497-nucleotide ribosomal RNA is filed under the name uncultured bacterium. RNAcentral describes it as "partial 16S ribosomal RNA". It matches the Rfam family "Bacterial small subunit ribosomal RNA", at positions 28 to 507 of the family's 1533-position model. The record is from RNAcentral.
GAUGAACGCUGGCGGCGUGCCUAAUACAUGCAAGUCGAGCGAACAGACGAGGAGCUUGCUCCUCUGACGUUAGCGGCGGACGGGUGAGUAACACGUGGAUAACCUACCUAUAAGACUGGGAUAACUUCGGGAAACCGGAGCUAAUACCGGAUAAUAUAUUGAACCGCAUGGUUCAAUAGUGAAAGACGGUUUUGCUGUCACUUAUAGAUGGAUCCGCGCCGCAUUAGCUAGUUGGUAAGGUAACGGCUUACCAAGGCAACGAUGCGUAGCCGACCUGAGAGGGUGAUCGGCCACACCGGAUCUCAGAGACGGUCCACAGGACUUCAAGAGGCACCGGAAGGGACUCUUGCGGAAUGGGCGGAAACCUGACGGAGCGACCCGGCGUGAGGGUAGACAGUCUUGGGACAGUAAAACACUGUUAUCAGGGACGAAGAACUGUGUAAAUAACUGUGCGCGUCGUGACGGUCACAAGUCAGAGAGCCCCGGCUACCCCCGUG